Molecule: long non-coding RNA, 202 nt
Filed under: Elaeis guineensis (African oil palm)
Lineage: Eukaryota; Viridiplantae; Streptophyta; Magnoliopsida; Arecales; Arecaceae
Description: long non-coding RNA (EGUI_LNC077114)
Source: RNAcentral
AUAUCACAUAUAUAAUUUCAGAUCUAACUAUACAUGCUUUGCAUACAUCUCAUGUAUUAAAAUCUGAUCUAAUUAGCAUGCUUUUAGAUCUAAUACAUCACAUGUAACAUCUAAAAAAUAAGAUUUAAAUUGAACUAUUCAAUAUAAAAUCUAUUCUAGACAGUUACUAGAAUAAUUCUACAACUAGUCUAGGCAUGCAGCA